This 339-nucleotide ribosomal RNA is filed under the name uncultured bacterium. Its description in RNAcentral is "bacterial SSU rRNA". It matches the Rfam family "Bacterial small subunit ribosomal RNA", at positions 20 to 359 of the family's 1533-position model. The record is from RNAcentral.
UGGCUCAGAACGAACGCUGGCGGCAUGCCUUACACAUGCAAGUCGAACGGCAGCACGGGUGCUUGCACCUGGUGGCGAGUGGCGAACGGGUGAGUAAUAUAUCGGAACGUACCUUAUUGUGGGGGAUAACGCAGCGAAAGCUGUGCUAAUACCGCAUAAUCCCUAAGGGGGAAAGCAGGGGACCGUAAGGCCUUGCGCAAUUAGAGCGGCCGAUACCUGAUUAGCUAGUUGGUGAGGUAAAGGCUCACCAAGGCAACGAUCAGUAGCUGGUCUGAGAGGACGAUCAGCCACACUGGGACUGAGACACGACCCAGACUCCUACGGGAGGCAGCAGUGGGG